Molecule: non-coding RNA, 86 nt
Organism: Podarcis lilfordi (Lilford's wall lizard)
Lineage: Eukaryota; Metazoa; Chordata; Lepidosauria; Squamata; Lacertidae
Source: the annotation of a GenBank genome assembly
GGCUCUGUGGCGCAAUGGAUAGCGCAUUGGACUUCUAGCGUGGCGCAGCGAUUCAAAGGUUGUGGGUUCGAGUCCCACCAGAGUCA